GAUGAACGCUGGCGGCGUGCCUAAUACAUGCAAGUCGAGCGAACAGACGAGGAGCUUGCUCCUCUGACGUUAGCGGCGGACGGGUGAGUAACACGUGGAUAACCUACCUAUAAGACUGGGAUAACUUCGGGAAACCGGAGCUAAUACCGGAUAAUAUAUUGAACCGCAUGGUUCAAUAGUGAAAGACGGUUUUGCUGUCACUUAUAGAUGGAUCCGCGCCGCAUUAGCUAGUUGGUAAGGUAACGGCUUACCAAGGCAACGAUGCGUAGCCGACCUGAGAGGGGGAGCGGCCACACGGGGACUGAGACACGGUCCAGACUCCAACGGGAGGCAGCAGUAGGAAAUCUUCCGAAAGGGGCGAAAGCCUGACGGAGCAACGCCGCGUGAGUGAUGAAGGUCUUCGGCUCGUAAAACUCUGUUAUUAGGGAAGAACAAAUGUGUAAGUAACUAUGCACGUUUUGACUGUACCUAAUCAGAAAGCCACGGCAAACUGCG
Molecule: ribosomal RNA, 495 nt
Filed under: uncultured bacterium
Lineage: Bacteria
Description: partial 16S ribosomal RNA
Rfam family: Bacterial small subunit ribosomal RNA
Source: RNAcentral